Molecule: ribosomal RNA, 563 nt
Filed under: uncultured bacterium
Lineage: Bacteria
Description: bacterial SSU rRNA
Rfam family: Bacterial small subunit ribosomal RNA
Source: RNAcentral
AUUCCUACGGGAGGCAGCAGUGCGGAAUUUUAGAUAAUGGAGGAAACUCUGAUGCAGCGACGCCGCGUGAAUGAUGAAGGCCUUCGGGUCGUAAAGUUCUGUCCUUGGGGAAGAUAAUGACGGUACCCAAGGAGGAAGCCCCGGCUAACUACGUGCCAGCAGCCGCGGUAAUACGUAGGGGGCGAGCGUUGUCCGGAAUUAUUGGGCGUAAAGGGUUCGCAGGCGGUCUGAUAAGUCAGAUGUGAAAGGCUAUGGCUUAACCAUAGUAAGCAUUUGAAACUGUCAGACUUGAGUUAAGGAGAGGAAAGUGGAAUUCCUAGUGUAGCGGUGAAAUGCGUAGAUAUUAGGAGGAGUACCAGUGGCGAAGGCGACUUUCUGGACUUAAACUGACGCUGAGGAACGAAAGCGUGGGGAGCAAACAGGAUUAGAUACCCUGGUAGUCCACGCCGUAAACGAUGAGUGCUAGGUGUUGGGGGUCAAACCUCGGUGCCGCAGCUAACGCAUUAAGCACUCCGCCUGGGGAGUACGUACGCAAGUAUGAAACUCAAAUGAAUUGACGGAAU